Molecule: transfer RNA, 71 nt
Filed under: human gut metagenome
Rfam family: tRNA
About the family: Transfer RNA (tRNA) molecules are approximately 80 nucleotides in length.
Source: RNAcentral
ACGCGUAGCUCAGCUGGUUAGAGCGCUCGCCUCACACGCGAGAGGUCAUGGGUUCGAGUCCCUUCGUGUCC